Termitomyces sp. T32_za158 is the source of this 103-nucleotide non-coding RNA. NCBI's taxonomy places the organism in Eukaryota, Fungi, Basidiomycota, Agaricomycetes, Agaricales, Lyophyllaceae. The record is from the annotation of a GenBank genome assembly.
GGGCACAUGGUGUAGUUGGUUAUCACGCCCGCUUAGCAUGAUCCAGAGGACUACAGGAGCCUUGUCCUGCGGGCGGUCCCCGGUUCAAUUCCGGGUGUGUCCA